UACGUAGGGGGCCAGCGUUGUCCGAAGUUACUGGGCGUAAAGGGCGCGUAGGCGGGGAAGAAAGUCUGCUGUGAAAGCCCGGAGCUUAACUCCGGAGGGUCGGUAGAUACUUUUUCUCUUGAAGCUGCUAGGGGGAGAUGGAAUUACCGGUGUAGCGGUGAAAUGCGUAGAUAUCGGUAGGAACACCUGUGGCGAAGGCGGUCUCCUGGGGGCAGACUUGACGCUGGAGGCGCGAAAGCUGGGGGAGCGAACGGG
This 255-nucleotide ribosomal RNA is filed under the name uncultured bacterium. Its description in RNAcentral is "partial 16S ribosomal RNA". It matches the Rfam family "Bacterial small subunit ribosomal RNA", at positions 524 to 776 of the family's 1533-position model. The record is from RNAcentral.